RNAcentral lists this ribosomal RNA (406 nucleotides) under uncultured bacterium. Its description in RNAcentral is "partial 16S ribosomal RNA". It matches the Rfam family "Bacterial small subunit ribosomal RNA", at positions 30 to 526 of the family's 1533-position model. The record is from RNAcentral.
AUUGAACGCUGGCGGCAGGCCUACAACUGCAAGUCGGGGGGAGCGGCGGACGGGUGAGUAAUGGCUUGGAAUCUGGCUGGGAGGGGGGGAUAACGUCCGGAAAAGGGCGCUAAUAACGCCUACUAUCAGAUUAACCUAGGUCGGAUUAGCUAGUUGGUGGGGUAAAGGCCUACCAAGGCGACGAUCCGUAACUGGUCUGAGAGGAUGAUCAGUCACACUGGAACUGAGACACGGUCCAGACUCCUACGGGAGGCAGCAGUGGGGAAUAUUGGACAAUGGGCGAAAGCCUGAUCCAGCCAUGCCGCGUGUGUGAAGAAGGUCUUCGGAUUGUAAAGCACUUUAAGUUGGGAGGCGUUACCAACAGAAUAAGCACCGGCUAACUUCGUGCCAGCCGCCGCGGUAAUAC